Molecule: long non-coding RNA, 765 nt
Organism: Clupea harengus (Atlantic herring)
Lineage: Eukaryota; Metazoa; Chordata; Actinopteri; Clupeiformes; Clupeidae
Source: Ensembl
CUAUUCGGCGGUCGCCGCGGUUCUAACCUCCUUGCUCUCCCUCGUAAAUGACAAGGCACCUCUAACCUACGGCUUUGUGUCUUGUUUUUUUUCCCCUGUGUGAAUUUCAAAGCAAAAGCGAGCGGUGAAUACCUUUCAGUGGCCGGUACGCGUCGGGGUCGCCCUCUUCGCACUUAAAGACGCUGGUCCAUGCGAGGGCCAAUGCAGAUUUCGGUGGCCGAGGGGUGGAACUCGGAGCAGGCAGGGCAGAACCUUCGACCCUGAGGGACCUCCGGGCUAGCUUUGGAGUAGGCGAGACAGACAGAAACGGAGCGAGGGAGGGAGAGAGAGGGAGAGAGAACAGGAGCAAGCCUCGAUCUGGGAGAGGGGGAGUCUCGACCGCAGUGUAGUGAGAAGGGACUGCCACUGGGGUCAGAGAGCACGUUCUAGAGCACAGCCCCGCUUAGGCAUGGCGGCGUGUAUAGGGUUUGAAUAUGUAGCCUACCCCACUGUACACUGUCUGUAUGCAGGGAGGAACAGCCAUGAUAGACGCGGCGGCGCUUCCAUGUGGUGAAUUUCCAUGCUGCCGUUGUAUUUCGCGCUCUUAGAAUGUCCUUAUUAAGCUACCGAUUGAGUAUUGGGCACAAUUGUGGUGGGCUAGAUCAAAGUGCUAACUGGAUAGUGGUCUUGGACACUGAAAAGUUAAAUGGAGACCAUCAUCAUGGCGCUCACCCCCACCACAUCGCUCCUGGAGUCAUUUCCAUUUGACUUUUCUCUUAUCUCCAG